CUCAUUAAAUCAGUUAUCGUUUAUUUGAUAGUACCUUACUACUUGGAUAACCGUGGUAAUUCUAGAGCUAAUACAUGCUAAAAAUCCCGACUUACGGAGGGAUGUAUUUAUUAGAUUAAAAACCAAUGCCCUUCGGGGCUCUUUGGUGAUUCAUAAUAACUUUUCGAAUCGCAUGGCCUUGUGCCGGCGAUGGUUCAUUCAAAUUUCUGCCCUAUCAACUUUCGAUGGCAGGGUAUUGGCCUGCCAUGGUUACAACGGGUAACGGAGGGUUAGGGCUCGACCCCGGAGAAGGAGCCUGAGAAACGGCUACUACAUCCAAGGAAGGCAGCAGGCGCGCAAAUUACCCAAUCCCGAUACGGGGAGGUAGUGACAAUAAAUACUGAUACAGGGCUCUUUUGGGUCUUGUAAUUGGAAUGAGUACAAUUUAAAUCCCUUAACGAGGAACAAUUGGAGGGCAAGUCUGGUGCCAGCAGCCGCGGUAAUUCCAGCUCCAAUAGCGUAUAUUAAAGUUGUUGCAGUUAAAAAGCUCGUAGUUGAACCUUGGGCCUGGCUGGCCGGUCCGCCUCACCGCGUGCACUGGUUCGGCCGGGUCUUUCCCUCUGGGGAACCCCAUGCCCUUUACUGGGUGUGGUGGGAAACCAGAACUUUUACUGUGAAAAAAUUAGAGUGUUCAAAGCAGGCCUAUGCUCGAAUACAUUAGCAUGGAAUAAUAGAAUAGGACGUGUGGUUCUAUUUUGUUGGUUUCUAGGACCGCCGUAAUGAUUAAUAGGGACAGUCGGGGGCAUCAGUAUUCAAUUGUCAGAGGUGAAAUUCUUAGAUUCAUUGAAGACUAACAACUGUGAAAGCAUUUGCCAAGGAUGUUUUCAUUAAUCAGGAACGAAAGUUAGGGGAUCGAAGACGAUCAGAUACCGUCGUAGUCUUAACCAUAAACUAUGCCGACUAGGGAUUGGACGAUGUUAUUUUUUGACUCGUUCAGCACCUUACGAGAAAU
Molecule: ribosomal RNA, 991 nt
Filed under: Nigropunctata sp. GCR-2022a
Lineage: Eukaryota; Fungi; Ascomycota; Sordariomycetes; Xylariales; Pallidoperidiaceae
Description: SSU rRNA
Rfam family: Eukaryotic small subunit ribosomal RNA
Source: RNAcentral